CACCACUCAAGCCUCGCUUGGUGUUGGGCGUCUUGUCUCUAGCUUUGCUGGAGACUCGCCUUAAAGUAAUUGGCAGCCGGCCUACUGGUUUCGGAGCGCAGCACAAGUCGCACUCUCUAUCAGCAAAGGUCGAGCAUCCAUUAAGCCUUUUUUCAAC
Molecule: unclassified non-coding RNA, 157 nt
Filed under: uncultured Pleosporales
Lineage: Eukaryota; Fungi; Ascomycota; Dothideomycetes; Pleosporales
Description: sequence contains ITS2
Source: RNAcentral